ACGCACGUGUGAAACUUGAAGGAAUUGACGGAAGGGCACCACAAGAACGCGUGGAGCAUGUGGCUUAAUUUGACUCAACGCGGGAAAUCUUACCGGGUCCGGACACACUGAGGAUUGACAGGCAAUAUUAAAUAAAGUUUAAUUUUCGGACUAUCUGAUAUUUAUGUUAAAUAUGCUAGUCCUUUCAUGAUUAUGUGAUAGGUGGUGCAUGGCCGUUCUUAGUUCGUGGAGUGAUCUGUCUGCUUAAUUGCGUUUCACUAAGGGCUUAUCUAAUUAUAACGUGUGUUGCUAGAGUUUUAUACCUUUGUGACCCCUUUAAUUAGUGUGUGUCUAUAAUGGUAGCUUUGGCUCACACAAUUAAGUCCUGAAAGCAACGAACGUGACCG
RNAcentral lists this ribosomal RNA (386 nucleotides) under Foraminifera environmental sample. RNAcentral's name for it is "SSU rRNA". It matches the Rfam family "Eukaryotic small subunit ribosomal RNA", at positions 1129 to 1436 of the family's 1831-position model. Lineage: Eukaryota; Foraminifera. The record is from RNAcentral.